UCAUCAUUCCAUCACUGCCAAAAAAAACCUUUGCGAAAAAAACCCUCGAGCCCCGAGCAGAUCGAUCUCCCCCGCCGCCGGCCGAUCCAUCCCUACGCCCCCUCUCCCUCUUCUAGCGAUGCGGCGCCGCCCCAAUCUCCCACGCUGCCGCCGCCUACCGCCUUCCCCUAUCUCCCGCUCAGCCACCUCCACCCUUCUCUACAUCGCCAGAUCCACUUGCAGAUCGUCAAGGAAGCGGCUCCCGGGUCUGCACUCGUGCGGCCGUGAAGGAGGGUCUCGAGGUGGCCGCCGCCGAAGAUGAAGCCCCUCCCUUGUCCAGAAUCGCUUCCUCCACCGUGUUCCAUCGAGGAAGCAGGGGCAGCACAGAGAGGGUCCUCACGCAGUCGUGCGGUCGACCACGACGACGCGGCCGUAUGAUGGGUACCCUCGGACGCUGCUCUCCUGGGCCGGAGGAGUCCAGAUCUGGCACCUCACCAAGGUCGCCACCCACGGUCAGUGCACCUGCCUUCUGAAUCCCGGCCCGUCCAUCUUCUCCCCGCGUUCCAGCGACGGCGAACCCUAGAUGCGCCUCUCCUCGUCCCCAAGCUCCCUCCUCUCGAUUCUCCGUUGUGCGACUCCGCUCAGUCCGACGUCGUAGCUUCUUCUCCGACUCUGCGGUUGUAGACAAUACUGAAGCACUAACACAAACAAGAUCCUUCUGAAGAUAGUCUCUGAAUGCAAAUGAUCGUGACUUCUGAAUUUGGAGCCAUGGCCCAUGUGUAGGCAAGGGCAAUGACCCCUUUUACUACUUGAGCGGUCCAACAGAGAUUAUUGAAGGUUGUUUCUAAAGUUGUGAUUGACUCGAACCAAAGGAAAGUUGGAGACUUCUUUAGUGUGAAUUGCUUGGAUUAAGUGGGAGUGAAGAUGUCCUUUCUAUCUAUAUCUGGUUCUAUUAUUGGCAAAUUUGUGCCUUCAAGAUUGCUGCUCGUGUUUGUGUUCUCGAGCUGAAAAUUUAGAUUAUUACCCUGUUUGGUCUCCUGAAUAUAAAUCAUGAUUCUUUGCAUCUCAAUUGCAGACCAGCAGACCUUUCCGUCCUCAUAUUCGCCGGAUUCGUUUUCUAUGAUCGAGCGUCCGAGCGGUUGCAUCUCGACGGCUGGUGCGCGCUCCAUUUCAGUAGUUAUACUAUAGUCCAGAAGUUUUUUGGGGUUCUACUUUUUUGAGUGAUUUUUCCAGUUCCCUUUAAUACUGAGUUGGCUUUAUACUAUGAGCAGUGAGCAAGUCAUGUAUAAAGCAAAAACAAAAAUUGGUCUGCUAUCAAAUGGUACAUUUAUUUGAACACAAAGGGCAAGAAAGGUUCAGGGUCUCGUGAAGAGGGCAUGUGUUUAUAUUAGGUGAGAUCUGAACUGAUUCUGACCAAUGUGAAAUUAAUAUUGUUGUUGAUGGAUCCGCAAUUAUUUUUAUGUGCACAGAAGUGCCGUAGUUGAGAAGCCUGAGAAGAAUAUAUCACUUAGGUACAGAUUCGAGCUAGGGUUUUUUCAUUUUCUCCUUCCAAUCCAUUUAUCAUGGGAUAAUUUGCCCAUAAAAGACAUACAUGAUGGUCGUCGUUGGACAGACUAUAUUUGUUUACUUCUACCCAUAAAUUUAAAGUCCUGAACAUGUAUAUUACACAUCUCUUGCAGGAUAUAUUAAUAUUAACCUAUGUGUGCGUUCCACUGCAUUCAUCUAUUUAAGUUCCACUGCAUUCAUUUAUUUAAGGCAUGAUAUUGGUAAGCUUGGUUCAAAUUGUGCCGCAUCUAUCUAUAUAAUGCACAAUAUUUCUAAGCUUGGUUCAGGUUGUUUCUGACAACCACUGGCAAUCUGUCCCUAUGUCAUUCCUCUUAUAUAUACAUGAGAACUGUCUACAUAGGAUCUUGCAAGCAGCACCAAAUCUUAUAUUAUGGGACGGAGUGAGUAUCUCAAAGAAGAAAUAUUUUUUUGAUGUAGGAAUAUCUGUAGGCUGAUUAUGCUUUGAUGUAUAGAUCGCAGUAGCAGGUAAAAUAUAAGUUCUUAGCCAGUUCAAUAGUACUUUGUUGAACAAUGCUCAAUUGACAUUAGGCUAAAACAUCGAGAAUACCUGAGGGGACAAGGCAAGUGUUGUUUGUAAGGACUCAUGUUAUGAUAUUGCAAAAUAGAUUAGACGGAAAAGUACAUAGCAUUGCCAUGGCAUAUUUAAAACUUCUAGAUCUGCUGUUCAUAGGAUGGCAUCCACAAAAUCCUUUCUACCAUGUGCGUGUGUUUGUGUUAGAAUUGUUUCACACAAAUAGACAAAUUAUUUUCUAUGUGUAUGCUUCUCCUUUUAUCAACUUAUGAGAAAUUAUAUUAAUGGGGCAUGCUUUAUUUGCAAGAUAUAGAUGUCUUAACUUGAUAAAAGGACUUUAUAUUGAAUGUGUUUGUGCGACUGAAGAUGAGGCAUGCUUUAUUUAAAAAAUUAUAUUGAGUGUGUUUGUGGGACUUGAGAUGGAGGAUGGCUUGUGCUCUUGCUUGUGCAGUUACCACGGUGCUCCAGCCAUGAUGUAGAGGUAUUGUGGCGGCGGUAAUGUGUUCCAACUUGGACGGCGUUGCCCCCAUUCUGGUGUGCGGAGCUAGAGAUGUGUAGUGCUAUGGAUGAAAGUCAUGUCCAGCUUAGGUCUGUGCUGGUGGCGACGACGCCUGUGGGUGCCGUUCCACUCCUUGGAGGUGUCGUCGAGGUGUGUCGGCAUCUUUCCCCUCACAUUGGUGUUUGGUGGUUGUCUCCGGGCGAAAGCCUAGGUUCAAGUUAGAGCUGGCGAUGGCAAUGUUCGUAUCGUCGUUUCUCUGUUGGGAGUAUCAUGUAUGGAGACACGACAUGCAGGUCCUGUGUUGUGAUCCUUUGGUGCUCAUUGCUACCCCAGGUUGAUCUUCAAGGGCUCUAUGUACGCUGCCGCUCAUGUGCCCAAGACGAUGCCUCCUCGAGUCCGACCAAGUCCUGUCACCUCCUCGCCGACAUGUCUUUUAGGCUUACAUGAGUGUAGUGCAUUGACCAUGGAAGUCUUGAUGGUGUCUUAUCUUCGGAGGCGUCCAGUGUCACUUGAAACACGACUGUCUUUCAGUUUAGGGUAGGCAUCUUGUGUUGUGGUUGUAAUGUGUGUGGUGACAUGUCUUGGGACUGCUAAGGUGUGGAGUUUGUGCUACGCUUGUAGUUUGUAACAAGGGUAGUCUUCUUGUAAUCUGCUUCUUCCUUUUAUAAAAAUAUGGUACGCCUAUGCGUACUCUCAAAGAUAAA
Molecule: long non-coding RNA, 3259 nt
Organism: Triticum aestivum (bread wheat)
Lineage: Eukaryota; Viridiplantae; Streptophyta; Magnoliopsida; Poales; Poaceae
Exons: 3
Source: RefSeq, a predicted model, not a curated record